Molecule: ribosomal RNA, 661 nt
Filed under: Ruegeria sp.
Lineage: Bacteria; Pseudomonadati; Pseudomonadota; Alphaproteobacteria; Rhodobacterales; Roseobacteraceae
Description: bacterial SSU rRNA
Rfam family: Bacterial small subunit ribosomal RNA
Source: RNAcentral
ACGAACGCUGGCGGCAGGCCUAACACAUGCAAGUCGAGCGCGCCCUUCGGGGUGAGCGGCGGACGGGUUAGUAACGCGUGGGAAUAUGCCCAAAGGUACGGAAUAGCCUCUGGAAACGGAGAGUAAUACCGUAUGUGCCCUUCGGGGGAAAGAUUUAUCGCCUUUGGAUUAGCCCGCGUUAGAUUAGGUAGUUGGUGGGGUAAUGGCCUACCAAGCCUACGAUCUAUAGCUGGUUUUAGAGGAUGAUCAGCAACACUGGGACUGAGACACGGCCCAGACUCCUACGGGAGGCAGCAGUGGGGAAUCUUGGACAAUGGGGGCAACCCUGAUCCAGCCAUGCCGCGUGAGUGAUGAAGGCCUUAGGGUCGUAAAGCUCUUUCGCCUGUGAAGAUAAUGACGGUAGCAGGUAAAGAAACCCCGGCUAACUCCGUGCCAGCAGCCGCGGUAAUACGGAGGGGGUUAGCGUUGUUCGGAAUUACUGGGCGUAAAGCGCACGUAGGCGGAUCGGAAAGUUGGGGGUGAAAUCCCGGGGCUCAACCCCGGAACUGCCUCCAAAACUAUCGGUCUAGAGUUCGAGAGAGGUGAGUGGAAUUCCGAGUGUAGAGGUGAAAUUCGUAGAUAUUCGGAGGAACACCAGUGGCGAAGGCGGCUCACUGGCUCG